GCCGGGCAUGGUGGCGCAUGCCUGUAAUCCCAACUACUCAGGAGGCUGAGGCAGGAGAAUCGCUUGAACCUGGGAAGCGGAGGUUGCAGUGAGCCGAGGUUGUGCCAUUGUAUUCCAGCCUGGGUGACAGAGCAAGACUCUGUCUCUA
RNAcentral lists this non-coding RNA (148 nucleotides) under Pan troglodytes (chimpanzee). The record is from Rfam by way of RNAcentral. Lineage: Eukaryota; Metazoa; Chordata; Mammalia; Primates; Hominidae.